ACGAACGCUGGCGGCAUGCCUAACACAUGCCAGUCGAACGAGACCUUCGGGUCUAGUGGCGCACGGGUGCGUCACGCGUGGGAACCUGCCCUUAGGUUCGGAAUAACUCCCCGAAAGGGGUGCUAAUACCGGAUAAUGUCUUCGGACCAAAGAUUUAUCGCCUUUGGAUGGGCCCGCGUUGGAUUAGCUAGUUGGUAGGGUAAAAGCCUACCAAGGCGACGAUCCAUAGCUGGUCUGAGAGGAUGAUCAGCCACACUGGGACUGAGACACGGCCCAGACUCCUACGGGAGGCAGCAGUGGGGAAUAUUGGACAAUGGGCGAAAGCCUGAUCCAGCAAUGCCGCGUGAGUGAUGAAGGCCUUAGGGUUGUAAAGCUCUUUUACCCGGGAUGAUAAUGACAGUACCGGGAGAAUAAGCGCCGGCUAACUCCGUG
This 432-nucleotide ribosomal RNA is filed under the name uncultured bacterium. RNAcentral describes it as "partial 16S ribosomal RNA". It matches the Rfam family "Bacterial small subunit ribosomal RNA", at positions 29 to 507 of the family's 1533-position model. The record is from RNAcentral.